UCCCAUAAACCGUGGCUCAGUUCAGAUCGUAGGCUGCAACUCGCCUACGUGAAGGAGGAAUCGCUAGUAAUCGCAGGUCAGCAUACUGCGGUGAAUACGUUCCCGGGCCUUGUACACACCGCCCGUCACACCAUGGAAGUUGGCCACGCCCGAAGCCGUUACUCCAACCCUCGGGAGGAGGACGUCGAAGGUGGGGCUGAUGACUGGGGUGAAGUCGUAACAAGGUAUCCGUACCGGAAGGUGCGGACGGAUCACCUCCUAA
RNAcentral lists this ribosomal RNA (262 nucleotides) under uncultured cyanobacterium. Its description in RNAcentral is "partial 16S ribosomal RNA". It matches the Rfam family "Bacterial small subunit ribosomal RNA", at positions 1272 to 1533 of the family's 1533-position model. Lineage: Bacteria; Bacillati; Cyanobacteriota. The record is from RNAcentral.